RNAcentral lists this ribosomal RNA (254 nucleotides) under uncultured bacterium. RNAcentral's name for it is "partial 16S ribosomal RNA". It matches the Rfam family "Bacterial small subunit ribosomal RNA", at positions 524 to 776 of the family's 1533-position model. The record is from RNAcentral.
UACGUAGGGGGGCAAGCGUUGUCCGGAAUUAUUGGGCGUAAAGAGCUCGUAGGCGGUCUGUUGCGUCCGCUGUGAAAACUCGGGGCUUAACCCCGAGCCUGCAGUGGAUACGGGCAGACUAGAGGUAGGUAGGGGAGAAUGGAAUUCCCGGUGUAGCGGUGAAAUGCGCAGAUAUCGGGAGGAACACCGGUGGCGAAGGCGGUUCUCUGGGCCUUACCUGACGCUGAGGAGCGAAAGCGUGGGGAGCGAACAGG